GGAGGGGCCAGCCGACAGAUGGCGACGGCCGCAGUCCCGAAAACUGUUGGCGCUUUCGAGCGCGUGCGAGUUCGACCCUCGCCCCCUCCGC
Molecule: transfer RNA, 91 nt
Filed under: Acrocarpospora macrocephala
Lineage: Bacteria; Bacillati; Actinomycetota; Actinomycetes; Streptosporangiales; Streptosporangiaceae
Description: tRNA-Ser
Source: RNAcentral